Molecule: ribosomal RNA, 499 nt
Filed under: Halobacillus sp.
Lineage: Bacteria; Bacillati; Bacillota; Bacilli; Caryophanales; Bacillaceae
Description: bacterial SSU rRNA
Rfam family: Bacterial small subunit ribosomal RNA
Source: RNAcentral
GAUGAGUUUGAUCGUGGCUCAGGACGAACGCUGGCGGCGUGCCUAAUACAUGCAAGUCGAGCGCGGGAAGCGAGCUGAUCCCUUCGGGGUGACGCUCGUGGAACGAGCGGCGGACGGGUGAGUAACACGUGGGCAACCUGCCUGUAAGAUCGGGAUAACUCCGGGAAACCGGGGCUAAUACCGGGUAAUACUUUCUUUCGCAUGAAGGAAAGUUGAAAGAUGGCUUCUCGCUAUCACUUACAGAUGGGCCCGCGGCGCAUUAGCUAGUUGGUGAGGUAACGGCUCACCAAGGCGACGAUGCGUAGCCGACCUGAGAGGGUGAUCGGCCACACUGGGACUGAGACACGGCCCAGACUCCUACGGGAGGCAGCAGUAGGGAAUCUUCCGCAAUGGACGAAAGUCUGACGGAGCAACGCCGCGUGAACGAUGAAGGUCUUCGGAUCGUAAAGUUCUGUUGUUAGGGAAGAACAAGUACCGUGCGAAUAGAGCGGUACCUGAC